CCCUGAAAGACCUUGGAAUCAUUCACACUGACGUAAAACCUGACAAUGUCAUGGUGGUCAGUGGGAAGAUCCAGCCAUUGAAAGUCAAACUAAUCGACUUUGGUCUGGCUAUUACAACUUCCAGCAUGGAGCCUGGCCUUGACAUUCAGCCUCUAGGAUACAGGGCUCCUGAAGUCUCCAUUGGCCUUCCCUUCAGUGAGGCCAUUGAUGUGUGGGGCCUGGGUUGUUUGCUCACAUUCCUCUACAUUGGAGAAAACCUCUUGUCUGUGUCCUGUGAUUACCAGAUGAUGAAGCGUGUUUCAGAGCUUCUUGGUCUACCAAAGGACGACCAGCUCCAGGCCGGGGUUCACACCAGGAGCUUCUUUUGUGAGGCUGAGGGAAGCCCAAAAUGGCGAUUGAUGGUAAAACUGAAGUUUUUUUUUCGGCAAACCUGAGUUCACCAAAGUUUAACUUUACAAUGAACUUCAUGACACUCAUCUUGUUUUCCCAGACACCAGAGGAAUAUGAAGCUGUGAACAACAUCGUACCUGAGGAGCAACAACGUUUCGUUGAGUUCUCUUCUUUGGAUGAUCUGGUUAAUGUUCAUCCAGGAGAAGAAAGUGGUGAGGCUGAGGACAGAAAAGCCUUUGUCGACCUGCUGAAGCAGCUCCUGCGCUUGGAUGGAGAUGAAAGGAUCUCUCCUGUCAGGCUCAGUUUCACCACUUCUUCACCACAUCCCACCUCAACCAGCAGGAGACCAGCAGACACUAUCAACCCUCCUCACAGGUUGAUAACACAACCUGCCCUGCAUCUGGUGAAGAGUCUGUUCUGGAUCAAGCCUGUGUGACAGAAUCAAACGAUGGUGACAGACUGAAUUUGGCCGCUACAUCCUGGGAUAUGUUCUAUGUGACUCUGCCAGAAGAAGAACUUUCCCUCUCGUCAGUCAGUUGUGAUGCCUUGGUUGCAGAAGCUUCACAUGAUCUCCCUCCUGUAACUGAUGUGGACCUGGUUUCUGUUCCCACUCCUCAUACAAAUGAUCAAGUUCUGGAUCAGUCUUCAAGUGGAGCAAAAAAACGUUCUUUGAUGAAGAGGAUUCGAAGGCUUUUCCGAAGAAUCAAGACUUUUUUUGUUAAGAAGUGAAUCCUUAUACAUGUAAAAACAUAUAUGUUCAAUAGUUGGUUUUAGAUCAUUUGGACUUUCACAGAUAUAUUUUAUAUAUUUUUUAUAUUAAACAAAUAAACAUGUAAAUAUUUAU
Molecule: long non-coding RNA, 1234 nt
Filed under: Gouania willdenowi (blunt-snouted clingfish)
Lineage: Eukaryota; Metazoa; Chordata; Actinopteri; Blenniiformes; Gobiesocidae
Description: lncRNA (ENSGWIG00000020498.1)
Source: RNAcentral